ACUAAACGCUUCUAGGGUUCCGACAGGGCGUCAGCGCGCUCUGUGGCUGGUCCGAGAGAAGCAGGUCGGUUUUGGCUUCGUCUUCGCGAAUCUAGAGGCCGACUACACGGCGGGAAAAAAGCCCGGGAGGA
RNAcentral lists this small RNA (131 nucleotides) under Geitlerinema sp. PCC 7407. RNAcentral's name for it is "Guanidine-I riboswitch aptamer". It matches the Rfam family "Guanidine-I riboswitch aptamer". From Rfam's summary of the family: This family represents a conserved RNA structure found upstream of the ykkC and yxkD genes in Bacillus subtilis and related genes in other bacteria. The function of this family is unclear although it has been suggested that it may function to switch on efflux pumps and detoxification systems in response to harmful environmental molecules. Nelson showed that this riboswitch senses and responds to guanidine and it was renamed Guanidine-I riboswitch. Lineage: Bacteria; Bacillati; Cyanobacteriota; Cyanophyceae; Geitlerinematales; Geitlerinemataceae. The record is from Rfam by way of RNAcentral. RNAcentral also lists the same sequence under 1 other name.